ACAAGGCAACAAAAAAGAGAAUAACUAUGCACUGUUUCUAUAAGAAAAUUGUAUAAGAACAUGUGUUACACAAAAAUUUUAUUGUCUAACAUUUUUGCAGUUGCACAGGUCACAUGUUACAGAUAGAUAAGGUGCCCACAUGAUAGAACAAAAAAAACUAAGGAGCACACAAGCCUUUGUUUUCUCCCUAACAGAUUGACUGCUUUACUUGCGAUGAUAGCAUGCAGAACUUUGUGUUUGUUGAUCCCUUUAACUGUCAAAAACGCUCUCAUGUUAUGGGAGGGAGUAUCAAUGUACUCGUGAUCGCCUGACUGGUAAAGCAACAAACAGGCCAGUAGAACAUCACGGCUAAUACAGCGGCAGACCACACAGUGCGGGAAACUACAAUGGCCAAUUCUAAAACCUUGUGGUUAAUAGAUAAACACACAUCCAUGAUGAUCCAAUACAAUAGGAUAAAAUCGACACGCUGAGGGAACUAAUGGCUUUUCAGCUAAUAACAUACAGCACAUGACAACAGCGCAGCGGGUACCUUUGUUCACUACAACUAGAUAGGAAGUGCGGCUUGCCGCACCCCACCCGCCCAGCCACAUCCAACCUGGUAUAUGACGUUUUUUAUUUCAUACGUUUAUACGAUGAAAGGCAAUAGUGUAACGGUUCAGUAUGUUAUAGCAAAAGUGCAAGGUUCAAUAGGUCACGACAAUUUGUUUACAAAUAUAUAUUACACAAGGCAACAAAAAAGAGAAUAACUAUGCACUGUUUCUAUAAGCAAAUUGUAUAAGAACAUGUGUUACACAAAAAUUUUAUUGUCUAACAUUUUUGCAGUUGCACAGGUCACAUGUUACAGAUAGAUAAGGUGCCCACAUGAUAGAACAAAAAAAACUAAGGAGCACACAAGCCUUUGUUUUCUCCCUAACAGAUUGACUGCUUUACUUGCGAUGAUAGCAUGCAGAACUUUGUGUUUGUUGAUGGUGGAACUUGCACAAGUAACUCCACAUUUAGUCCGACAAAAUGAUGGCAGCUUCCAUGGAGCCGCCAGACCUGAGAAGCACAAAGAAUGAAAACAUGAGUAAACUGAAGAUGUCAUGAACAUAAAUUUGUCAAAAGUGCAGGAUCAAUGCACAAUAUUUAUCAA
RNAcentral lists this long non-coding RNA (1132 nucleotides) under Triticum aestivum (bread wheat). RNAcentral's name for it is "long non-coding RNA (TAES_LNC010215)". Lineage: Eukaryota; Viridiplantae; Streptophyta; Magnoliopsida; Poales; Poaceae. The record is from RNAcentral.